This 97-nucleotide transfer RNA is filed under the name Streptomyces bluensis. Its description in RNAcentral is "tRNA-Gly". Lineage: Bacteria; Bacillati; Actinomycetota; Actinomycetes; Kitasatosporales; Streptomycetaceae. The record is from RNAcentral.
CCAUGAGGUUGGGAAGGGCGAAGCGCAGCAGCUCUUCCACGGCUUCCGGCAACAGGUCGUGGUCGGCGCGCAGUUGUUCAGCCUGCUCCUGGUGGAC